UGGCUCAGAUUGAACGCUGGCGGCAGGCUUCACACAUGCAAGUCGAGCGGUAGCACAGGGGAGCUUGCUCCCUGGGUGACGAGCGGCGGACGGGUGAGUAAUGUCUGGGAAACUGCCUGAUGGAGGGGGAUAACUACUGGAAACGGUAGCUAAUACCGCAUAACGUCGCAAGACCAAAGAGGGGGACCUUCGGGCCUCUUGCCAUCAGAUGUGCCCAGAUAGGAUUAGCUAGUAGGUGGGGUAUGGCUCACCUAGGCGACGAUCCCUAGCUGGUCUGAGAGGAUGACCAGCCACACUGGAACUGAGACACGGUCCAGACUCCUACGGGAGGCAGCAGUGGGGAAUAUUACACAAUGGGCGCAAGCCUGAUGCAGCCAUGCCGCGUGUGUGAAGAAGGCCUUCGGGUUGUAAAGCACUUUCAGCGAGGAGGAGGCUCCUUUAGUUAAUACCUAAAGUGAGUGGACGUUACUCGCAGAAUAAGCACCGGCUAACUCUGUGUCAGCAGCCGCGGUAAUACAGAGGGUGCGAGCGUUAAUCGGAUUUACUGGGCGUAAAGCGUGCGUAGGCGGCUUUUUAAGUCGGAUGUGAAAUCCCUGAGCUUAACUUAGGAAUUGCAUUCGAUACUGGAAAGCUAGAGUAUGGGAGAGGAUGGUAGAAUUCCAGGUGUAGCGGUGAAAUGCGUAGAGAUCUGGAGGAAUACCGAUGCGAAGGGCAGCCUCUGGCCUUAUACUGACGCUGAGGUUCAAAAAGCUGGGGAGCAAACAGGAUUAGAUACCCUGGUAGUC
RNAcentral lists this ribosomal RNA (785 nucleotides) under uncultured bacterium. RNAcentral's name for it is "bacterial SSU rRNA". It matches the Rfam family "Bacterial small subunit ribosomal RNA", at positions 20 to 795 of the family's 1533-position model. The record is from RNAcentral.